RNAcentral lists this ribosomal RNA (252 nucleotides) under uncultured bacterium. RNAcentral's name for it is "partial 16S ribosomal RNA". It matches the Rfam family "Bacterial small subunit ribosomal RNA", at positions 337 to 605 of the family's 1533-position model. The record is from RNAcentral.
ACCUACGGGGCGCAGCAGUGGGGGAUAUUGCACAAUGGGGGAAACCCUGAUGCAGCGACGCCGCGUGUGGGAAGACGGUCCUCUGGAUUGUAAACCACUGUCCCCAGGGACGAAGAUGACGGUACCUGGGGAGGAAGCUCCGGCUAACUACGUGCCAGCAGCCGAGGUAAUACGUAGGGAGCAAGCGUUGUCCGGAAUUACUGGGUGUAAAGGGAGCGUAGGCGGGAUGGCAAGUGGGGUGUUAAAUCUACC